UACGGAGGGUGCAAGCGUUAAUCGGAAUUACUGGGCGUAAAGCGCGCGUAGGUGGUUUAAUAAGUUGAGUGUGAAAGCCCCGGGCUUAACCUGGGAAAGUCAUUCAAAACUAUUAGACUAGAGUACGGGAGAGGGUAGUGGAAUUUCAGGUGUAGCGGUGAAAUGCGUAGAGAUCUGAAGGAACACCAGUGGCGAAGGCGGCUACCUGGCCUGAUACUGACACUGAGGUGCGAAAGCGUGGGGAGCAAACAGG
This 253-nucleotide ribosomal RNA is filed under the name uncultured bacterium. RNAcentral describes it as "partial 16S ribosomal RNA". It matches the Rfam family "Bacterial small subunit ribosomal RNA", at positions 524 to 776 of the family's 1533-position model. The record is from RNAcentral.